Molecule: ribosomal RNA, 253 nt
Filed under: uncultured bacterium
Lineage: Bacteria
Description: partial 16S ribosomal RNA
Rfam family: Bacterial small subunit ribosomal RNA
Source: RNAcentral
GACGUAGGGGGCCAGCGUUGUUCGGAAUUACUGGGUGUAAAGGGUUCGUAGGCGGUGUGGCAAGUCGGGAGUGAAAUUUCUGGGCUCAACUCAGAGACUGCUUCCGAAACUGCUGUGCUUGAGUGUGGGAGAGGCGCGUGGAAUUGCAGGUGUAGCGGUGAAAUGCGUAGAUAUCUGCAGGAACACCCGUGGCGAAAGCGGCGCGCUGGACCACUACUGACGCUGAGGAACGAAAGCGUGGGGAGCAAACAGG